This 419-nucleotide ribosomal RNA is filed under the name uncultured bacterium. RNAcentral describes it as "bacterial SSU rRNA". It matches the Rfam family "Bacterial small subunit ribosomal RNA", at positions 9 to 430 of the family's 1533-position model. The record is from RNAcentral.
GAGUUUGAUCUUGGCUCAGAUUGAACGCUGGCGGCAGGCCUAACACAUGCAAGUCGAGCGGUAGAGAGAAGCUUGCUUCUCUUGAGAGCGGCGGACGGGUGAGUAAUGCCUAGGAAUCUGCCUGGUAGUGGGGGAUAACGCUCGGAAACGGACGCUAAUACCGCAUACGCCCUACGGGAGAAAGCAGGGGACCUUCGGGCCUUGCGCUAUCAGAUGAGCCUAGGUCGGAUUAGCUAGUUGGUGAGGUAAUGGCUCACCAAGGCGGCGAUCCGUAACUGGUCUGAGAGGAUGAUCAGUCACACUGGAACUGAGACACGGUCCAGACUCCUACGGGAGGCAGCAGUGGGGAAUAUUGGACAAUGGGCGAAAGCCUGAUCCAGCCAUGCCGCGUGUGUGAAGAAGGUCUUCGGAUUGUAAAG